CCAAACCUGAAGAGGGAAGAGAAAAAGCCUAGGACUAUGUGAAAAAAAAAAAAAUCAGUGCAGUUAGCAAAGAUGUCACUGGGAACGUAUGAUUUACAAGCAGAUGGUGGAAGAUAAUACAGCCAGAGAAUCAUAAGCUGGAAGGGUACUGUAGGAGAUUAUGUCUACACUCAUCCCUCAAAAGCGGUGGGAUGGGGUGGGGUAGGGCUGGGGGUGGGGAGCUAGAUGAGGCAGUUACUGCGUGGGUGUGGUACUGCCUUUAUUUCUAGAAUAGUGCACUCAAACAAUAGUGACUUUCAAAUACCAUGGUAUUUCAGAACAUGCAGUGGAAACCCAGGAAGUUUAACGUUAAUACGGGACAGACAAGGUCUCGGGUCCAGCUCCCUGUCUGCAGGCACAUUUCUCUAUGAAAACUACUAUAUAUUUUUUUCUGAUUGAAUUUAAAAUAUAUUCCAUUCCAACAAAA
Long non-coding RNA from Cebus imitator (Panamanian white-faced capuchin), 466 nucleotides. RefSeq lists it as uncharacterized. Lineage: Eukaryota; Metazoa; Chordata; Mammalia; Primates; Cebidae. The transcript is spliced from 2 exons. The record is from RefSeq and is a predicted model, not a curated record.